This 376-nucleotide unclassified non-coding RNA is filed under the name soil metagenome. Its description in RNAcentral is "partial contains 5.8S ribosomal RNA, internal transcribed spacer 2, and large subunit ribosomal RNA". The stretch from base 1 to 120 matches the Rfam family "5.8S ribosomal RNA", at positions 35 to 154 of the family's 154-position model. The record is from RNAcentral.
GAUGAAGAACGUAGUGAAAUGCGAUAAGUAAUGUGAAUUGCAGAAUUCAGUGAAUCAUCGAAUCUUUGAACGCAUCUUGCGCUCCUUGGUAUUCUGAGGAGCAUGCCUGUUUGAGUGUCAUUAAAUUCUCAACUACACUGACUUUGAAUUGGUGUGGCUUGGAUUUGGGGGGAAAAUUGUUGUGGGCUUUUUGUAUAGUCUGCUCCCCUGAAAUUGAUUAGCGGUACCUUUGUGGAACUGUCUACAGGUGUGAUAAUUAUCUACAUCUUAGACAUCUGCUGGAAUGCUGCUCUCUAAACCUUACUUGUAUUGACAAUCUUGACCUCAAAUCAGGUAGGACUACCCGCUGAACUUAAGCAUCUCAAUCAGCGGAGGA